GACGAACGCUGGCGGCGUGCUUAACACAUGCAAGUCGAACGAUGAAGCUGGAGCUUGCUCCGGUGGAUUAGUGGCGAACGGGUGAGUAACACGUGAGCAAUCUGCCCUUGACUCUGGGAUAACUGCGGGAAACUGUAGCUAAUACCGGAUACUUUCACUGGAAGGCAUCUUCUGGUGAAGAAAGAAUUUCGGUCAAGGAUGAGCUCGCGGCCUAUCAGCUUGUUGGUGAGGUAACGGUUCAACAAGGCGACGACGGGUAGCCGGCCUGAGAGGGUGACCGGCCACACUGGGACUGAGACACGGCCCAGACUCCUACGGGAGGCAGCAGUGGGGAAUAUUGCACAAUGGGCGCAAGCCUGAUGCAGCAACGCCGCGUGAGGGAUGAAGGCCUUCGGGUUGUAAACCUCUUUUAGCAGGGAAGAAGCGAAAGUGACGGUACCUGCAAAAAAAGCACCGGCUAACUACGUGCCAGCAGCCGCGGUAA
RNAcentral lists this ribosomal RNA (484 nucleotides) under uncultured bacterium. RNAcentral describes it as "partial 16S ribosomal RNA". It matches the Rfam family "Bacterial small subunit ribosomal RNA", at positions 28 to 523 of the family's 1533-position model. The record is from RNAcentral.